GGGCUCGUGGUGUAGAGAUCUAACAUACCACACUGUCACUGUGGAGAUCGCGGGUUUGAAUCCCGUCGGGCCCGCCA
Molecule: transfer RNA, 77 nt
Filed under: Candidatus Mycoplasma haematolamae str. Purdue
Lineage: Bacteria; Bacillati; Mycoplasmatota; Mollicutes; Mycoplasmatales; Mycoplasmataceae
Description: tRNA-Asp (GTC) (tRNA-Asp-GTC-1-1)
Rfam family: tRNA
About the family: Transfer RNA (tRNA) molecules are approximately 80 nucleotides in length. Their secondary structure includes four short double-helical elements and three loops (D, anti-codon, and T loops).
Source: RNAcentral